CUUCCCGAACGAAGUUCGCGGGUAGCUUGUUCUUGCGCAGAGCCGCGGGUGCUGGACGACUUCCCAGCGGUCCUGGGUGUUGUGGUCUGUGAGUCCUUUACAGUCCAACAGUUUCAAGAGCAAAUUUAUAAAAACUCAACUUUUUAAAACAAGAUUUUUAUUUAUUUGACAAACAGGUAGACAGGCAGAGAGAGGAGGAAGCAGGCUCCCUGCCGAGCAGAGAGCCCGCCGCGGGGCUCGAUCCCAGGACCCCGGGAUCGUGACCUGAGCCCAAGGCAGAGGCUUUAACCCACUGAGCCACCCAGGCGCCCCCAAAACUCAACAUUUUUACAGCAAAAUCUUUCUUACGUGUCAUCCGGGGAAACAGCUUUGAAGUGCUGUCGUGUGACCCCGGGGACUUUCCCUCCUGCCCUCGGAGCUCCCAGUUGCCCUCCAAGCCGCUGCCUCCAGCCACUGCGUGCAGAGCGCUUUGCGCCGCUCCGCAGACACGUUCCCGAGCUGCCGUCCUGUCCCCUCUCUCUGCCUGCCGAAGGUUCUUGUCUCUAAAUACUCAAAGGAAGCACUGCUGCCCGCUAAGGUGGCCUCAGAGAUUUCACCAUGGGGUGGUUUGAGUUGUUCGUGGUGGUUGCCACACAGGUGUUUUUAUCUGAACUCGCUGGAGUUCCAACUUCUUCCUUUGACUGGAUUCCAAGAAGCAGAAUUUUGGGCGAAAGCAUAUAGACUGGUCAGGAUUCUCCAUACUCUGCUGGGUUUCAAGUGGGGUCGUUUAAAUACUGCCUCUGCUCAUCUGCACACCCAAGGCUGCAGCAUAGAUGCCGGUGUAGACACGAGUCUGUCAGGGUGCAGUCCCUGUGAAGGAGGAGACCUGACCAACAAAGACUCCGGGCAGAGACUCCCCUGAAGCCUACCUGUGAAGCUCUAGCUGGGGUGCCAGGCCCUCUGCCCAAGCCCUGCCUCCCUGCAAGACAGGACUUCUGACCUCUGGGUCCCCUUCUGACAACGAUCUCUUCCUUUAGGGUUUGGAUGACGUUUGAAAGGUGAUCUGGAAAGCAGGAAGGAAAGCAUCCGUGGCAAGUUCACGGGUCCCUCGCAGAUGGCUGAGCUGCUGUGUGUGCAGCUCCUGGCUUCCUGGCCCUCACCCCUCUCAUCAGGCUUCAUCUGUGUGUGGGUCCUAGUCUGAUGGCCCCACCUGGGUGGGAUCAUGGAGUCCACAGGCCCAGAGGAGCCCCAUUCCCAGGCAACGGGGAGGACAGCGGAGAAGUCGGGAUGGGGGCCCCGGAGCCCCCAAAGCCCAGAGAGUGGGGCCUGGGUCAAGUUCUUUUGGGUGGGAAGGAGGAGGCCCCCUUUUCUAUGCCACCAGGCCCACCGACAAAGCUGUCAGGGGGCACCGACAAGCAGCUGGUUUGGAACAACAGCUCCCAUCCCUAAACCAGAGAACUGAGCCCUUCCUGGGAACCCUUUGGGUACCCCCACCCCACACCCUACAGUGUGACCCCUUGGUCUGACCCUGGUGGAGGCACUUGCAGCCUCUGUCCCUGGGAUUCAGCCUCUGGGCACCAUGGGGCUAAAAGUCAUGGGAGCAAAACCACAGGAUUAGGGAGCAGCCCCUUUGCUAUCUCAGGCCAGUGUCUGGGGAGCAGCGCUGGUGAGCGAGGGGCCAUGCCUGGCCUCACUGUGCUCACAGGAAGCCAUGGGCUGAGGUCAACUCCUGCCUCUGUCCUCUGUGCUGCUGGGGAAGAGGCCAGCCUUGACUGGAGGCCUCCGUGGGAGGAGCAGCAUGGGAGGGCCACAGCUGAUGCAGGCCACCUGUGGGCGGGGCACUGGCCAGCGGGUCUGCAGAUGGCUUGGGACAUACCCUGCCAUCCCUCUCUUUCCUCUGCCCCACCCCAACCUCAACCCCACUUCACCCCUUCCCACCAAAUCCUCAGUGUUUCCAUGAUUCUGAAAACCACCCAACCUCUGGCCUGGAUCUUUCUGAAGGAGAAUGUGCCGUAAGUGGCUGAUCUCCACGUGGUCACUGUGCAGUUCCCGCCUUCUCCCAUGUCCCUCUCACCACCACCCCCCAUUCUCUCUGUGCUCCUGCAGCUGAUCCUUCACUCUGGGUCCCCCUCACCCCCAGGCAGACUAGCUGGUUCCUGGUAUCUAGUGGCUUCCAGGUCAGGUAACACGGGGCAGGAGGGGAGCUACUGCUUUUGGGGACAGCAUUGCUGGGACACGGCCAGUGGCAUGGCCUGACGUGGAAGGGAGGCCAGCCAGGUGGGGAACUCGGCAGAGGCCUGGGUUGGGGUCUGGCCCUGUGCUGCUCCAACUUAGCCAGCAAAGGCCAGAAAGGGUUCCAAGGCUACUGCCCUGAAGCCUGGAAGCUUGGGGCGGCCUGAGACCCUUGGCCUCUGUGCCCUCUCUCUUCCUUUCCCAAGGCAGGAAAGUCCAAGGCUCACGGGUCAACAGCCAUUGUUUUUAUUUUAAAUAUUUUAUUUAUUUAUUUGACAGACAAAGAUCAUGAGUAGGCAGAGAGGCAGGCGGAGAGGGGGAAGCAGGCUCUCAGCUGAGCAGAGAGCCCGAUGCGGGGCUCGAUCCCAAGACCCUGAGAUCAUGACCUGAGCCGAAGGCAGAGGCUUUAACCCACUGAGCCACCCAGGUGCCCCAUCAACAGCCAUUAUUGAGACACGUGGCCUUGUGGUUAAAGGCAGCGCCCAACACCGAGCGAGCCCCUCUAGCCAGCUGAUGCUGGCCCUUGCCCUCAAAGUGCGCCUUCUGCCACCAGAGGGGACAAAGCCUAGCCUGGGAUCCGCACGCACCGCCAGCUCGAAUCUUGAGAACCUCUGGAUGUCGGGGUUGAGUUCGGGUGCCUGCCCCACCCUGCCACCUGUGGCACCUGUGCAAACUGACCACAGGUGCCUGUAUUUCCCAGCAGGCCAGCCCACAGACUGCAGAGGCCUCCUGGCCACUGGGACACCUGAGCAGCAAGGCCUCUGCAGAUGGCUGGGGGUGCCCGGUGUCCCAGCACACAGGGCUUCCGUGUCCUCCUGCCUGUCUGCAGUGCUCAGCUGGGCUCCUGGCAAAGCCUUCCCCCACGUUCACCGACACCUAGUCAAGACCAUGUGGAGUGGGAGGAGAGAGAAGAGUAUGUGCCAGAGCCUGGCCCCUGCUCCCUGACCCCAGCAAGCCUGGAUGCAGCUGUGGGGAGGACUUCGGAGCCUCUGGGGGUCCCCUUGGGCCAGUCCUCUGAUUUACCUGGGAGCAUGUCCCUUUCUGUAGACUCAAGCCCGCUCCCUCACCCAAGCCUCUGCUCUACCCUUCAGGACAGGUGGUGACACCCAGUUUGACACCCCUUCUGGGAAGAACAGGUGCUGAGCCCCAGGCCUACCGGUGCCAAUGGCAAGGCGGACGGGGGCACCUGGGUUGGGAGUCAACGUGGCGGCCGCCUGGGCAAGACCCCUCUGCCUCACACAUCCCAACGGCGCACUCGGCGUCCACAGACUCUAGAAGCCUGGCCUGCCUCUCUAAGCAUCUCUGUGUUGGUUACAAAGAACCAAAUAAAGUUGCAAGCCAAUCCAAGUUUUUAAACAAGUCUGUUUAUUGAAAGGAUCUGAAAAUAUUGUAGUAAGGCUUUCAACGACAUCUAACAAAUAUUCGAGAUAUUAACAAUAUGAAACAUUAAGAAUUUACUUCAAAAAAUCCAAUGUUUUCUAGAUCAUUCCAAAUCAUGCUGCUUUUGGACUUGGUUAAUACUUGCUUUUUUUUUUUUUUUUUUUGUCUAAACCAGUGACCCAAAUCCCAAAUGCCACUGUCUUUUGGACCUAAAGCUGGGAGUUUUGGUUCGGGCCCCUCUCAGCCCAAGGGAGGCUGGGCAGCAACCCUCUAACCGCGUCCCGCCCCUGCUGGAUGGCUAUGCAGGCCCUUCCCUUUCCAACUCCAGGCCAUUAGCCAAGAACCACCUGAGGGCCAGAAGCCCCGAAGCAUGGAGGUAGGAGGCCACGCUCAGGCCACAGAGCCUGUUCCACCGAGGCCCCUCGGUGGUGGGUGGCUGCCCGCGCGGGCCCCCAGCCUUUCUAUCAGCCCAAGAA
Molecule: long non-coding RNA, 4067 nt
Organism: Mustela lutreola (European mink)
Lineage: Eukaryota; Metazoa; Chordata; Mammalia; Carnivora; Mustelidae
Exons: 2
Source: RefSeq, a predicted model, not a curated record